Molecule: small RNA, 156 nt
Filed under: Flavobacterium sp. 9
Lineage: Bacteria; Pseudomonadati; Bacteroidota; Flavobacteriia; Flavobacteriales; Flavobacteriaceae
Description: Flavo-1 RNA
Rfam family: Flavo-1 RNA
Source: RNAcentral
GCCUAGCCCUGAUAGUAAUGAAAAUACUUUGAGAAGAAAUUGCGAUUUUUUCCUGACAGAACAAAGCGACUCCCGACGUUUCGGGAUAAGCUCUUGGUAUGUUUUGGAAAAAUACAAUUUAUCAAAAAAGUAUUGUAAUGAAUAGCAGGAAUAUGC